Molecule: RNase P RNA, 368 nt
Filed under: Bacillota bacterium
Lineage: Bacteria; Bacillati; Bacillota
Description: Firmicutes bacterium (anaerobic digester metagenome) RNase P RNA component class A
Rfam family: Bacterial RNase P class A
About the family: Ribonuclease P (RNase P) is a ubiquitous endoribonuclease, found in archaea, bacteria and eukarya as well as chloroplasts and mitochondria. Its best characterised activity is the generation of mature 5'-ends of tRNAs by cleaving the 5'-leader elements of precursor-tRNAs.
Source: RNAcentral
UAACUGUCUCGGGUAACCGCGGAUCGGAAUGAUCUGAGGAAAGUCCGAGCUCCACAGGGCAGGAUGCUGGAUAACGUCCAGGGGGGGCGACCCCACGGAAAGUGCCACAGAAAAGGAAACGCCUAACAAGCGAUUGGUCGUUCCAAUCUUGUUAAGGCAAAGCUGAAAAGGUGCGGUAAGAGCGCACCAGCGGUCGAGGAAUCGGCCGGCUUGGAAAACCCCAUCCGGAGCAAGGCUAAAUAGGGGAGAGAUAAAACGGCCCGUUUUUCUCCCGGGUUAGCUGCUGGAGGCGUCGGGCAACCGGUGCCCUAGAUAAAUGGUUACCGCCCGCAAGGGUACAGAACUCGGCUUAUAGAGACAGUUAUUAU